RNAcentral lists this ribosomal RNA (429 nucleotides) under uncultured euryarchaeote. Its description in RNAcentral is "bacterial SSU rRNA". It matches the Rfam family "Archaeal small subunit ribosomal RNA", at positions 258 to 688 of the family's 1478-position model. Lineage: Archaea; Methanobacteriati; Methanobacteriota. The record is from RNAcentral.
CAUCCACGCGUACGGGUGUUGGGAGACAUUGCCCGGAGAUGGAUUCUGAGACACGAAUCCAGACCCUACGGGGUGCAGCAGGCGCGAAAACUUGGCAAUGCGAGAAAUCGUGACCAGGGAACUCCAAGUGGCAGGGGUAAGACCCUGUCUUUUUCCGACUCUAAAUAGGUCGGCGAAUAAGGGGUGGGUAAGGACGGUGCCAGCCGCCGCGGUAAUACCGGCGCCUCAAGUGGUAGUCGCUUUUAUUGGGCCUAAAACGUCCGUAGCCGGUCUGGUACAUUCGUGGGUAAAUCAACUCGCUUAACGAGUUGAAUUCUGCGUGGACGGCCAGACUUGGGACCGGGAGAGGUGUGGGGUACUCUCAGGGUAGGGGUAAAAUCCUGUCAUCCUGAGAGGACCACCUGUUGCGAAGGCUCCACACUAGAACGG